Molecule: ribosomal RNA, 451 nt
Filed under: uncultured bacterium
Lineage: Bacteria
Description: bacterial SSU rRNA
Rfam family: Bacterial small subunit ribosomal RNA
Source: RNAcentral
UGGGGAAUUUUGGACAAUGGGGGCAACCCUGAUCCAGCCAUGCCGCGUGAGUGAAGAAGGCCUUCGGGUUGUAAAGCUCUUUUGUCCGGGAAGAAAGGGUUGGGGUGAAUAGUCCCGAUCGUUGACGGUACUGGAAGAAUAAGCACCGGCUAACUACGUGCCAGCAGCCGCGGUAAUACGUAGGGUGCGAGCGUUAAUCGGAAUUACUGGGCGUAAAGGGUGCGUAGGCGGUGCUCACAAGUCCGUUGUGAAAGCCCCGGGCUUAACCUGGGAACGGCAGUGGAAACUAGGGCACUUGAAUGUGGCAGAGGGGGGUGGAAUUCCACGUGUAGCAGUGAAAUGCGUAGAGAUGUGGAGGAACACCGAUGGCGAAGGCAGCCCCCUGGGCCAGCAUUGACGCUGAGGGCACGAAAGCGUGGGGAGCAAACAGGAUUAGAUACCCCCGUAGUCC